This 402-nucleotide ribosomal RNA is filed under the name uncultured Magnetospirillum sp. RNAcentral's name for it is "bacterial SSU rRNA". It matches the Rfam family "Bacterial small subunit ribosomal RNA", at positions 355 to 774 of the family's 1533-position model. The record is from RNAcentral. Lineage: Bacteria; Pseudomonadati; Pseudomonadota; Alphaproteobacteria; Rhodospirillales; Rhodospirillaceae.
UGGGGAAUAUUGGACAAUGGGCGCAAGCCUGAUCCAGCCAUGCCGCGUGAGUGAUGAAGGCCUUAGGGUUGUAAAGCUCUUUCACCCACGACGAUGAUGACGGUAGUGGGAGAAGAAGCCCCGGCUAACUUCGUGCCAGCAGCCGCGGUAAUACGAAGGGGGCUAGCGUUGUUCGGAAUUACUGGGCGUAAAGCGCACGCAGGCGGUUCGAUUAGUCAGAAGUGAAAGCCCCGGGCUCAACCUGGGAAUUGCUUUUGAUACUGUCGAGCUUGAAUCACGGAGAGGGUAGUGGAAUUCCGAGUGUAGAGGUGAAAUUCGUAGAUAUUCGGAAGAACACCAGUGGCGAAGGCGACUACCUGGCCGUCGAUUGACGCUCAUGUGCGAAAGCGUGGGGAGCAAACA